AGCAGCCGCGGUAAUUCCAGCUCCAAUAGCGUAUAUUAAAGUUGUUACAGUUAAAAAGCUCGUAGUUGAAUUUCGGGGUCAGCAAGUUGGUCGUGCCACUGGUAUGUACUGGCUUUGCUGAUUCCUCCUUCUUGUAGAACCGUAAUGCCAUUAAGUUGGUGUUGCGGGAAAACAGGACUGUUACUUUGAAAAAAUUAGAGUGUUUAAAGCAGGCUAACGCUUGAAUACAUUAGCAUGGAAUAAUGAAAUAGGACGACGAUCCUAUUUUGUUGGUUUCUAGGAUUGACGUAAUGAUUAAUAGGGAUAGUUGGGGGCAUUAGUAUUCAAUUGUCAGAGGUGAAAUUCUUGGAUUUAUUGAAGACUGACUACUGCGAAAGCAUUUGCCAAGGAUGUUUUCAUUAAUCAAGAACGAAAGUUAGGGGAUCGAAGACGAUCAGAUACCGUCGUAGUCUUAACCAUAAACUAUGCCGACUAGGGAUCGGAUGAUGUUAAUUUUAUAAUGACUCA
RNAcentral lists this ribosomal RNA (507 nucleotides) under uncultured Glomus. RNAcentral's name for it is "SSU rRNA". It matches the Rfam family "Eukaryotic small subunit ribosomal RNA", at positions 569 to 1078 of the family's 1831-position model. The record is from RNAcentral. Lineage: Eukaryota; Fungi; Glomeromycota; Glomeromycetes; Glomerales; Glomeraceae.